RNAcentral lists this ribosomal RNA (1547 nucleotides) under Escherichia coli. RNAcentral describes it as "partial 23S ribosomal RNA". It matches the Rfam family "Bacterial large subunit ribosomal RNA", at positions 609 to 2139 of the family's 2925-position model. Lineage: Bacteria; Pseudomonadati; Pseudomonadota; Gammaproteobacteria; Enterobacterales; Enterobacteriaceae. The record is from RNAcentral.
UGUAUAAUGGGUCAGCGACUUAUAUUCUGUAGCAAGGUUAACCGAAUAGGGGAGCCGAAGGGAAACCGAGUCUUAACUGGGCGUUAAGUUGCAGGGUAUAGACCCGAAACCCGGUGAUCUAGCCAUGGGCAGGUUGAAGGUUGGGUAACACUAACUGGAGGACCGAACCGACUAAUGUUGAAAAAUUAGCGGAUGACUUGUGGCUGGGGGUGAAAGGCCAAUCAAACCGGGAGAUAGCUGGUUCUCCCCGAAAGCUAUUUAGGUAGCGCCUCGUGAAUUCAUCUCCGGGGGUAGAGCACUGUUUCGGCAAGGGGGUCAUCCCGACUUACCAACCCGAUGCAAACUGCGAAUACCGGAGAAUGUUAUCACGGGAGACACACGGCGGGUGCUAACGUCCGUCGUGAAGAGGGAAACAACCCAGACCGCCAGCUAAGGUCCCAAAGUCAUGGUUAAGUGGGAAACGAUGUGGGAAGGCCCAGACAGCCAGGAUGUUGGCUUAGAAGCAGCCAUCAUUUAAAGAAAGCGUAAUAGCUCACUGGUCGAGUCGGCCUGCGCGGAAGAUGUAACGGGGCUAAACCAUGCACCGAAGCUGCGGCAGCGACGCUUAUGCGUUGUUGGGUAGGGGAGCGUUCUGUAAGCCUGCGAAGGUGUGCUGUGAGGCAUGCUGGAGGUAUCAGAAGUGCGAAUGCUGACAUAAGUAACGAUAAAGCGGGUGAAAAGCCCGCUCGCCGGAAGACCAAGGGUUCCUGUCCAACGUUAAUCGGGGCAGGGUGAGUCGACCCCUAAGGCGAGGCCGAAAGGCGUAGUCGAUGGGAAACAGGUUAAUAUUCCUGUACUUGGUGUUACUGCGAAGGGGGGACGGAGAAGGCUAUGUUGGCCGGGCGACGGUUGUCCCGGUUUAAGCGUGUAGGCUGGUUUUCCAGGCAAAUCCGGAAAAUCAAGGCUGAGGCGUGAUGACGAGGCACUACGGUGCUGAAGCAACAAAUGCCCUGCUUCCAGGAAAAGCCUCUAAGCAUCAGGUAACAUCAAAUCGUACCCCAAACCGACACAGGUGGUCAGGUAGAGAAUACCAAGGCGCUUGAGAGAACUCGGGUGAAGGAACUAGGCAAAAUGGUGCCGUAACUUCGGGAGAAGGCACGCUGAUAUGUAGGUGAAGCGACUUGCUCGUGGAGCUGAAAUCAGUCGAAGAUACCAGCUGGCUGCAACUGUUUAUUAAAAACACAGCACUGUGCAAACACGAAAGUGGACGUAUACGGUGUGACGCCUGCCCGGUGCCGGAAGGUUAAUUGAUGGGGUUAGCGGUAACGCGAAGCUCUUGAUCGAAGCCCCGGUAAACGGCGGCCGUAACUAUAACGGUCCUAAGGUAGCGAAAUUCCUUGUCGGGUAAGUUCCGACCUGCACGAAUGGCGUAAUGAUGGCCAGGCUGUCUCCACCCGAGACUCAGUGAAAUUGAACUCGCUGUGAAGAUGCAGUGUACCCGCGGCAAGACGGAAAGACCCCGUGAACCUUUACUAUAGCUUGACACUGAACAUUGAGCCUUGAUGUGU